UCCCAGAUCGUAUAGUGGUCAGUAUUUCUGCUUGUCAUUGCUUUGAAAAGCGGAAUUCGCAGGAGACCUGGGUUCAAUUCCCAGUCUGGGAG
RNAcentral lists this transfer RNA (92 nucleotides) under Plenodomus lingam JN3. RNAcentral describes it as "tRNA-Asp for anticodon GUC". It matches the Rfam family "tRNA". From Rfam's summary of the family: Transfer RNA (tRNA) molecules are approximately 80 nucleotides in length. The record is from Rfam by way of RNAcentral. Lineage: Eukaryota; Fungi; Ascomycota; Dothideomycetes; Pleosporales; Leptosphaeriaceae.